This 253-nucleotide ribosomal RNA is filed under the name uncultured bacterium. Its description in RNAcentral is "partial 16S ribosomal RNA". It matches the Rfam family "Bacterial small subunit ribosomal RNA", at positions 524 to 776 of the family's 1533-position model. The record is from RNAcentral.
UACAUGGGGUGCAAACGUUGCUCGGAAUUAUUGGGCGUAAAGCGCGCGUAGGCGGUUACUUAAGUCGGAUGUGAAAGCCCUCGGCUUAACUGAGGAAGUGCACCCGAAACUGAGUAGCUAGAGUACGAAAGAGGGUCGCGGAAUUCCCGGUGUAGAGGUGAAAUUCGUAGAUAUCGGGAGGAGCACCGGUGGCGAAGGCGGCGACCUGGGUCGAGACUGACGCUGAGGCGCGAAAGCGUGGGGAGCAAACAGG